CCCGCGCUUAAUCAUGCUGGUGGCCAUUGGUAAGCAGUGGCUGAAAAGGAAAGUUGGCGAAAAUCCAACACUGACGCGCAGCGGUAAUAGAUAACGAGUUCCUAGUGGGAAACCAACACACUGCUAAUCAUUAGUGGGAAGUGAGGUACAAGGUGAAGUGUUGGGUAUUCCACACUUCGAGAUCUUAAGUCCGAAGACCUGCCAGCAAACAAAAAAACUAU
RNAcentral lists this non-coding RNA (221 nucleotides) under Vibrio chagasii. Lineage: Bacteria; Pseudomonadati; Pseudomonadota; Gammaproteobacteria; Vibrionales; Vibrionaceae. The record is from RNAcentral.